GACGAACGCUGGCGGCGUGCCUAAUACAUGCAAGUAGAACGCAGUUGCGAACGGGUGAGUAACGCGUAGGUAACUGCCUCAUAGCGGGGGAUAACUAUUGGAAACGAUAGCUAAUACCGCAUACUGUGAGAUGGACCUGCGUUGUAUUAGCUAGUUGGUGUGGUAAAGGCUCACCAAGGCGACGAUACAUAGCCGACCUGGGAGGGGGUUCGGCACUACUGGGACUGGAAACCGGCCCAGACCCCUACGGGAGGAAGCAGUAGGGAAUCUUGGGCAAUGGACGAAGGUCUGACCGAGAAACGCCGCGUGAGUGAAGAAGGUUUUCGGAUCGUAAAACUCUGUUUUUGGGGAAGCGGUAUCUAACCAGAAAGCCACGGCUAACUACGUGCCAGCAGCCGCGGUAAUAC
This 407-nucleotide ribosomal RNA is filed under the name uncultured bacterium. RNAcentral's name for it is "partial 16S ribosomal RNA". It matches the Rfam family "Bacterial small subunit ribosomal RNA", at positions 28 to 526 of the family's 1533-position model. The record is from RNAcentral.